This 495-nucleotide ribosomal RNA is filed under the name uncultured bacterium. Its description in RNAcentral is "partial 16S ribosomal RNA". It matches the Rfam family "Bacterial small subunit ribosomal RNA", at positions 30 to 507 of the family's 1533-position model. The record is from RNAcentral.
UGACCGCUGGCGGCGUGCCUAAUACAUGCAAGUCGAGCGAACGGACGAGAAGCUUGCUUCUCUGAUGUUAGCGGCGGACGGGUGAGUAACACGUGGAUAACCUACCUAUAAGACUGGGAUAACUUCGGGAAACCGUAGCUAAUACCGGAUAAUAUUUUGAACCGCAUGGUUCAAAAGUGAAAGACGGUCUUGCUGUCACUUAUAGAUGGAUCCGCGCUGCAUUAGCUAGUUGGUAAGGUAACGGCUUACCAAGGCAACGAUGCAUAGCCGACCUGAGAGGGUGAUCGGCCACACUGGAACUGAGACACGGUCCAGACUCCUACGGGAGGCAGCAGUAGGGAAUCUUCCGCAAUGGGCGAAAGCCUGACGGAGCAACGCCGCGUGAGUGAUGAAGGUCUUCGGAUCGUAAAACUCUGUUAUUAGGGAAGAACAUAUGUGUAAGUAACUGUGCACAUCUUGACGGUACCUAAUCAGAAAGCCACGGCUAACUACGUG